UAGAAGGGGAUCGCCCAUAUUAAUGCAGUCCGAACGAUCCCUUCGGGAGAUAGUGGCGCACGGGUGCGUAACGCGUGGGAAUCUGCCCUUGGGUUCGGAAUAACGUCGGGAAACUGACGCUAAUACCGGAUGAUGACGUAAGUCCAAAGAUUUAUCGCCCAGGGAUGAGCCCGCGUAGGAUUAGCUAGUUGGUGGGGUAAAGGCCUACCAAGGCGACGAUCCUUAGCUGGUCUGAGAGGAUGAUCAGCCACACUGGGACUGAGACACGGCCCAGACUCCUACGGGAGGCAGCAGUAGGGAAUAUUGGACAAUGGGCGCAAGCCUGAUCCAGCAAUGCCGCGUGAGUGAUGAAGGCCUUAGGGUUGUAAAGCUCUUUUACCAGAGAUGAUAAUGACAGUAUCUGGGGAAUAAGCCCCGGCUAACUCCGUGCCAGCAGCCGCGGUAAUACGGAGGGGGCUAGCGUUGUUCGGAAUUACUGGGCGUAAAGCGCACGUAGGCGGCGAUUUAAGUCAGAGGUGAAAGCCCGGGGCUCAUCCCCGGAACUGCCUUUGAACUGGAUAGCUUGAAUCCGGGAGAGGUGAGUGCAAUUCCGAGAUGUAGAGGC
This 604-nucleotide ribosomal RNA is filed under the name Sphingobium olei. RNAcentral describes it as "bacterial SSU rRNA". It matches the Rfam family "Bacterial small subunit ribosomal RNA", at positions 37 to 682 of the family's 1533-position model. Lineage: Bacteria; Pseudomonadati; Pseudomonadota; Alphaproteobacteria; Sphingomonadales; Sphingobiaceae. The record is from RNAcentral.